Molecule: small nuclear RNA, 160 nt
Organism: Andrographis paniculata
Lineage: Eukaryota; Viridiplantae; Streptophyta; Magnoliopsida; Lamiales; Acanthaceae
Product: U1 spliceosomal RNA
Exons: 1
Source: RefSeq, a predicted model, not a curated record
AUACUUACCUGGAUGGGGCUGUUGGAUGAUCACUAAGAUCCAUAGUCUAGGUUGGCAAUCUCCAUUGCACUUUGGAGGGGUGUCUAUCUAAGGUCAACCCAAGUGGUUGAGCCUACAUCAUAAUUUGUGGUAGUGGGGCUUGCGUUCGCGCAGCCCCUAC